RNAcentral lists this ribosomal RNA (497 nucleotides) under uncultured bacterium. Its description in RNAcentral is "partial 16S ribosomal RNA". It matches the Rfam family "Bacterial small subunit ribosomal RNA", at positions 30 to 523 of the family's 1533-position model. The record is from RNAcentral.
AUUGGACGCUGGCGGCAUGCCUUACACAUGCAAGUCGAACGGUAACAGGUCUUCGGAUGCUGACGAGUGGCGAACGGGUGAGUAAUACAUCGGAACGUGCCUAGUAGUGGGGGGUAACUACUCGAAAGAGUGGCUAAUACCGCAUGAGAUCUACGGAUGAAAGCAGGGGAUCGCAAGACCUUGUGCUACUAGAGCGGCCGAUGGCAGAUUAGGUAGUUGGUGGGAUAAAAGCUUACCAAGCCGACGAUCUGUAGCUGGUCUGAGAGGACGAUCAGCCACACUGGGACUGAGACACGGCCCAGACUCCUACGGAGGCAGCAGUGGGGAAUUUUGGACAAUGGGCGCAAGCCUGAUCCAGCAAUGCCGCGUGCAGGAUGAAGGCCUUCGGGUUGUAAACUGCUUUUGUACGGAACGAAAAGCCCCGGGUUAAUACCCUGGGGUCAUGACGGUACCGUAAGAAUAAGCACCGGCUAACUACGUGCCAGCCGCCGCGGUAA